AUUGAACGCUGGCGGCAUGCCUUACACAUGCAAGUCGAACGGUAACAGGUCUUCGGAUGCUGACGAGUGUCGAACGGGUGAGUAAUACAUCGGAACGUGCCUAGUAGUGGGGGAUAACUACUCGAAAGAGUGGCUAAUACCGCAUGAGAUCUACGGAUGAAAGCAGGGGAUCGCAAGACCUUGUGCUACUAUAGCGGGCGAUGUCAGAGUAGGUAGUUGGUGGGAUAAAAGCUUACUAAGCCGACGAUCUGUAGCUGGUCUGAGAGGACGAUCAGCCACACUGGGACGGAGAAACGGCCCAGACUCCUACGGGAGGCAGCAGUGGGGAAUUUUGGACAAUGGGCGCAAGCCUGAUCCAGCAAUGCCGCGUGCAGGAUGAAGGCCUUCGGGUUGUAAACUGCUUUUGUACGGAACGAAAAGCCCCGGGUUAAUACCCUGGGGUCAUGACGGUACCGUAAGAAUAAGCACCGGCUAACUACGUGCCAGCCGCCGCCGUAA
RNAcentral lists this ribosomal RNA (498 nucleotides) under uncultured bacterium. RNAcentral describes it as "partial 16S ribosomal RNA". It matches the Rfam family "Bacterial small subunit ribosomal RNA", at positions 30 to 523 of the family's 1533-position model. The record is from RNAcentral.